GACGAACGCUGGCGGCGUGCUUAACACAUGCAAGUCGAACGGAAAGGCCCUGCUUUUGUGGGGUGCUCGAGUGGCGAACGGGUGAGUAACACGUGAGUAACCUGCCCUUGACUUUGGGAUAACUUCAGGAAACUGGGGCUAAUACCGGAUAGGAGCUCCUGCUGCAUGGUGGGGGUUGGAAAGUUUCGGCGGUUGGGGAUGGACUCGCGGCUUAUCAGCUUGUUGGUGGGGUAGUGGCUUACCAAGGCUUUGACGGGUAGCCGGCCUGAGAGGGUGACCGGCCACAUUGGGACUGAGAUACGGCCCAGACGCCUACGGGCGGCAGCAGUGGGGAAUAUUGCACAAUGGGCGGAAGCCUGAUGCAGCAACGCCGCGUGCGGGAUGCCGGCCUUCGGGUUGUAAACCGCUUUCGCCGGUGACGAAGCGUGAGUGACGGUAAUGGGUAAAGAAGCACCGGCUAACUACGUG
Molecule: ribosomal RNA, 468 nt
Filed under: uncultured bacterium
Lineage: Bacteria
Description: partial 16S ribosomal RNA
Rfam family: Bacterial small subunit ribosomal RNA
Source: RNAcentral